UACAGAGGUGGCAAGCGUUGUUCGGAAUUACUGGGCGUAAAGCGCACGUAGGCGGCUUUGUAAGUUAGAGGUGAAAGCCCGGGGCUCAACUCCGGAAUUGCCUUUAAGACUGCAUCGCUAGAAUUGUGGAGAGGUAAGUGGAAUUCCGAGUGUAGAGGUGAAAUUCGUAGAUAUUCGCAAGAACACCAGUGGCGAAGGCGGCUCACUGGCCCGAUACUGACGCUGAGGCACGAAAGCGUGGGGAGCAAACAGG
This 253-nucleotide ribosomal RNA is filed under the name uncultured bacterium. RNAcentral describes it as "partial 16S ribosomal RNA". It matches the Rfam family "Bacterial small subunit ribosomal RNA", at positions 524 to 776 of the family's 1533-position model. The record is from RNAcentral.